UGUUCGUCCACCUGACUCCUGCCUUCACCGCGGGAUCCCUUGUGCUGUUUUGGCCUCCUUCCUGCUGUGCACGCAUCCAGUGAUAUUCCUGGACUGCUGUCGGCUGCUGAACAUGGGCCUCAUAACCGACCUCAGCUGAUUGCAGAGCUUGCGAUAACACAAGGAGCGGCAACAUCAAGGCUACCUUGGUUCAAGUUCCGAACGCUGCUGUUUUGUUUUCACCUAAGUUGUGAUGGUCGAUUUUACAUGUUUUGUUUAUUGCAUGUUUGCA
Alosa sapidissima (American shad) is the source of this 271-nucleotide long non-coding RNA. RefSeq lists it as uncharacterized. The record is from RefSeq and is a predicted model, not a curated record. The transcript is spliced from 3 exons. Lineage: Eukaryota; Metazoa; Chordata; Actinopteri; Clupeiformes; Clupeidae.